This 492-nucleotide ribosomal RNA is filed under the name uncultured bacterium. RNAcentral describes it as "partial 16S ribosomal RNA". It matches the Rfam family "Bacterial small subunit ribosomal RNA", at positions 29 to 507 of the family's 1533-position model. The record is from RNAcentral.
AGUGAACGCUGGCGGUAGGCCUAACACAUGCAAGUCGAACGGCAGCACAGUAAGAGCUUGCUCUUACGGGUGGCGAGUGGCGGACGGGUGAGGAAUACAUCGGAAUCUACUUUUUCGUGGGGGAUAACGUAGGGAAACUUACGCUAAUACCGCAUACGACCUACGGGUGAAAGCAGGGGAUCUUCGGACCUUGCGCGAUUGAAUGAGCCGAUGUCGGAUUAGCUAGUUGGCGGGGUAAAGGCCCACCAAGGCGACGAUCCGUAGCUGGUCUGCGAGGAUGAUAAGCCACACUGGAACUGAGCCACGGUCCAGACUCCGACGGGAGGCAGCAGUGGGGAAUAUUGGACAAUGGGCGCAAGCCUGAUCCAACCAUACCGCGUGGGUGAAGAAGGCCUUCGGGUUGUAAAGCCCUUUUGUUGGGAAAGAAAAGCAGCAGGUUAAUACCCCGCUGUUCUGACGGUACCCAAAGAAUAAGCACCGGCUAACUUCGUG